RNAcentral lists this transfer RNA (74 nucleotides) under Coxiella endosymbiont of Amblyomma americanum. RNAcentral describes it as "tRNA-Trp (CCA) (tRNA-Trp-CCA-1-1)". It matches the Rfam family "tRNA". From Rfam's summary of the family: Transfer RNA (tRNA) molecules are approximately 80 nucleotides in length. Their secondary structure includes four short double-helical elements and three loops (D, anti-codon, and T loops). Further hydrogen bonds mediate the characteristic L-shaped molecular structure. tRNAs have two regions of fundamental functional importance: the anti-codon, which is responsible for specific mRNA codon recognition, and the 3' end, to which the tRNAs corresponding amino acid is attached (by aminoacyl-tRNA synthetases). tRNAs cope with the degeneracy of the genetic code in two manners: having more than one tRNA (with a specific anti-codon) for a particular amino acid; and 'wobble' base-pairing, i.e. permitting non-standard base-pairing at the 3rd anti-codon position. Lineage: Bacteria; Pseudomonadati; Pseudomonadota; Gammaproteobacteria; Legionellales; Coxiellaceae. RNAcentral also lists the same sequence under 1 other name. The record is from Rfam by way of RNAcentral.
AGGCCAGUAGCUCAAGUCGGUAGAGCAGCGGUCUCCAAAACCGCAGAUUGUGGGUUCGAUUCCCUCCUGGCCUG